RNAcentral lists this ribosomal RNA (502 nucleotides) under Fusarium solani. RNAcentral's name for it is "eukaryotic LSU rRNA". The stretch from base 123 to 276 matches the Rfam family "5.8S ribosomal RNA". The record is from RNAcentral. Lineage: Eukaryota; Fungi; Ascomycota; Sordariomycetes; Hypocreales; Nectriaceae.
ACAUACCUAUAACGUUGCCUCGGCGGGAACAGACGGCCCCGUAACACGGGCCGCCCCCGCCAGAGGACCCCCUAACUCUGUUUCUAUAAUGUUUCUUCUGAGUAAACAAGCAAAUAAAUUAAAACUUUCAACAACGGAUCUCUUGGCUCUGGCAUCGAUGAAGAACGCAGCGAAAUGCGAUAAGUAAUGUGAAUUGCAGAAUUCAGUGAAUCAUCGAAUCUUUGAACGCACAUUGCGCCCGCCAGUAUUCUGGCGGGCAUGCCUGUUCGAGCGUCAUUACAACCCUCAGGCCCCCGGGCCUGGCGUUGGGGAUCGGCGGAAGCCCCCUGCGGGCACAACGCCGUCCCCCAAAUACAGUGGCGGUCCCGCCGCAGCUUCCAUUGCGUAGUAGCUAACACCUCGCAACUGGAGAGCGGCGCGGCCACGCCGUAAAACACCCAACUUCUGAAUGUUGACCUCGAAUCAGGUAGGAAUACCCGCUGAACUUAAGCAUAUCAAUAGG